GAUGAACGCUGGCGGCGUGCCUAAUACAUGCAAGUCGAGCGAACAGACGAGGAGCUUGCUCCUCUGACGUUAGCGGCGGACGGGUGAGUAACACGUGGAUAACCUACCUAUAAGACUGGGAUAACUUCGGGAAACCGGAGCUAAUACCGGAUAAUAUAUUGAACCGCAUGGUUCAAUAGUGAAAGACGGUUUUGCUGUCACUUAUAGAUGAUCCGCGCCGCAUUAGCUAGUUGGUAAGGUAACGGCUUACCAAGGCAACGAUGCGUAGCCGACCUGAGAGGGUGAUCGGCCACACUGGAACUGAGACACGGUCCAGACUCCUACGGGAGGCAGCAGUAGGGAAUCUUCCGCAAUGGGCGAAAGCCUGACGGAGCAACGCCGCGUGAGUGAUGAAGAUCUUCGGAUCGUAAAACCCUGUUAUUAGGGAAGAACAAAUGUGUAAGUAACUAUGCACGUCUUGACGGUACCUAAUCAGAAAGCCACGGCUAACUACGUG
RNAcentral lists this ribosomal RNA (496 nucleotides) under uncultured bacterium. RNAcentral's name for it is "partial 16S ribosomal RNA". It matches the Rfam family "Bacterial small subunit ribosomal RNA", at positions 28 to 507 of the family's 1533-position model. The record is from RNAcentral.